UGAGGACAUCAUGGAAAGUCUGCAACCCGGAAGAGAGCCCUCACCCCAUCAUGCUGGCACCCUGAACUCGGACUUCCAGCCUCCAGAACUAGCAAACUCUUUUGCCACUGCACCAGACCAGUGAAUGGAGAUUUUUCUAGAUGAUAUAUUGAGAGGACACCAGCAACGAUGGAUGGCAAUACCUUCUGUCUUUAUCACUGGAAUAGAGGGAAAAUAAAGUCAUAUCUCAGAAAAUGUACGAACCAUUCACAUCCAAGCCACCAGGGCCAACACAGAAGGAGGUGCACACUCCCAGGAUUGAACUAUCCCAGGAGCAGAACCCUAAGGUUAAAGUCUUCUUAAAGAAUGAAUCUAGAUUUUGUGCCAGCUAUUUCCAAGAAAUCAUAUUUAUUCAUCGGGAUGAAAGGCCAUGUGAGGACACAGCAAGAAGGUGGCUGUCUGCAAGCCAGGAAGAGUAACCUUCGUCAUCACAAACUGAAUUUGUUAGCACACUGAUCUUGGAUUUCCAGCCUCUAAAACUCUAAGAAGUAAACCUUUGUCAUGUAAGCCACCCAGUCUAGGAUAUUUUGUUCCAGCAGCCUGAGAAAACUAAGACAGCACCAAAAUCAAGAUAAAUAAAAUCCAUAAUACAAUGUUUUUAAAAUUCAAAAUUAAUGCAAAAAUUCACAAUGAACGAAA
Long non-coding RNA from Canis lupus familiaris (dog), 678 nucleotides. RefSeq lists it as uncharacterized. The transcript has 6 exons. NCBI's taxonomy places the organism in Eukaryota, Metazoa, Chordata, Mammalia, Carnivora, Canidae. The record is from RefSeq and is a predicted model, not a curated record.